AGCUUUGCUUUUGGGGCUGGCUGACCUGUGUGUUUAGCUCCUGUGUACCUACUCUCAGACCAGGUGGUGUCACAGGGUGGACUGUCCCUUUAAGGACAAGCCUAGGCUAGUAAAAUCCUGCUCCAAAUCUCAGCUGCUCUUCAGUGACUCCUGAUUGAGAGGGCUGUUGGAUGUGCUUGAGGUGGGGUACAGAAGGACCUGGGGAGAGUGAAGCAAGAGGAGAAAAAGACUUGGGGUAUUGCAGUACUGGUCUGGUGCAGGCUGUUAAGGGCAUUUGAAGGCCACUUGUCAGGGGAAACUGAGAUAGUAGCGGUGUCCUGAUGAUGCAGCUGAUGGAAAGGAGCCUGCAUCUCUGUGGCAAUUCCUGGAGAGCCCUUCGGCAUGACUCAUGAUAGGUUAACGGCAGGUCACCCAGUGGCACAUGCAUGAAGACACACCACCCAGGAGGUAGGAGACGCACACCCUCUGGCUGACCAUGGUGUGUCCUGCAAGGGAAGUCGAUUUACAGACUGACUCAAAUGCUAAUGAAGAGACCUCCAAGACAUCAAGAGAAGAAAUUAACGGGAAGAGGAGAACAGCGGGGAGGGGCUGUUUACAGAUGAAGAACAAAGGACUGGUUUAAUAUCUCUAGGGGUACAGAGAGACGUCCUGGGAUCCUUCCUCCGGGGAUCCAAACUACCAGCAUGCUGAGGGUCUCAGCCAUUCUGGUUGGAAAAUGCUGGGAGAAGGACGCUGGGGUGAGCGGCUCCUUAUUAGACAAGAACGCACCUUGUUAGCAGAGUUUGGGCUCUAGAAUGCGUGUUACAAUUGGGUUUUAUAUGUAACACUUUGUUGAUGGUAUUUCUGCUUGCUGUCAUUCUUGCUUUCUCAGUAAAUAACUGCGUGGCAGGCAAGGUAUAACUA
Long non-coding RNA from Chelonia mydas (Green sea turtle), 903 nucleotides. RefSeq lists it as uncharacterized. The transcript has 4 exons. The record is from RefSeq and is a predicted model, not a curated record. Lineage: Eukaryota; Metazoa; Chordata; Testudines; Cheloniidae.